GACCAUCUCCUAAGGCUAAAUACUCUCUAGUGACCGAUAGUGAACCAGUACCGUGAGGGAAAGGUGAAAAGCACCCCGGAAGGGGAGUGAAAUAGAACCUGAAACCGUGUGCUUACAAGUAGUCAGAGCCCGUUAAUGGGUGAUGGCGUGCCUUUUGUAGAAUGAACCGGCGAGUUACGAUUUGAUGCAAGGUUAAGCAGUAAAUGUGGAGCCGUAGCGAAAGCGAGUCUGAAUAGGGCGUUUAGUAUUUGGUCGUAGACCCGAAACCAGGUGAUCUACCCUUGGUCAGGUUGAAGUUCAGGUAACACUGAAUGGAGGACCGAACCGACUUACGUUGAAAAGUGAGCGGAUGAACUGAGGGUAGCGGAGAAAUUCCAAUCGAACCUGGAGAUAGCUGGUUCUCUCCGAAAUAGCUUUAGGGCUAGCCUCAAGUGAUGAUUAUUGGAGGUAGAGCACUGUUUGGACGAGGGGCCCCUCUCGGGUUACCGAAUUCAGACAAACUCCGAAUGCCAAUUAAUUUAACUUGGGAGUCAGAAC
This 537-nucleotide ribosomal RNA is filed under the name Staphylococcus aureus. Its description in RNAcentral is "partial 23S ribosomal RNA". It matches the Rfam family "Bacterial large subunit ribosomal RNA", at positions 451 to 990 of the family's 2925-position model. Lineage: Bacteria; Bacillati; Bacillota; Bacilli; Caryophanales; Staphylococcaceae. The record is from RNAcentral.